AAAGAGUUUGAAUCCUGGCUCAGGAUGAACGCUGGCGGCGUGCCUAAUACAUGCAAGUCGAGCGAACUUAUUAGAAGCUUGCUUCUAUGACGUUAGCGGCGGACGGGUGAGUAACACGUGGGCAACCUGCCUGUAAGACUGGGAUAACUUCGGGAAACCGAAGCUAAUACCGGAUAGGAUCUUCUCCUUCAUGGGAGAUGAUUGAAAGAUGGUUUCGGCUAUCACUUACAGAUGGGCCCGCGGUGCAUUAGCUAGUUGGUGAGGUAACGGCUCACCACGUCAACGAUGCAUAGCCGACCUGAGAGGGUGAUCGGCCACACUGGGACUGAGACACGGCCCAGACUCCUACCGGAGGCAGCAGUAGGGAAUCUUCCGCAAUGGACGAAAGUCUGACGGAGCAACGCCGCGUGAGUGAUGAAGGCUUUCGGGUCGUAAAACUCUGUUGUUAGGGAAGAACAAGUACGAGAGUAACUGCUCGUACCUUGACGGAACCUAACCAGAAAGCCACGGCUAACUACGUGCCAGCAGCCGCGGUAAUACGUAGGUGGCAAGCGUUAUCCGGAAUUAUUGGGCGUAAAGCGCGCGCAGGCGGUUUCUUAAGUCUGAUGUGAAAGCCCACGGCUCAACCGUGGAGGGUCAUUGGAAACUGGGGAACUUGAGUGCAGAAGAGAAAAGCGGAAUUCCACGUGUAGCGGUGAAUUGCGUAGAGAUGUGGAGGAACACCAGUGGCGAAGGCGGCUUUUUGGUCUGUAACUGACGCUGAGGCGCGAAAGCGUGGGGAGCAAACAGGAUUAGAUACCCUGGUAGUCCACGCCGUAAACGAUGAGUGCUAAGUGUUAUAGGGUUUCCGCCCUUUAGUGCUGCAGCUAACGCAUUAAGCACUCCGCCUGGGGAGUACGGUCGCAAGACUGAAACUCAAAGGAAUUGACGGGGGCCCGCACAAGCGGUGGAGCAUGUGGUUUAAUUCGAAGCAACGCGAAGAACCUUACCAGGUCUUGACAUCCUCUGACAACUCUAGAGAUAGAGCGUUCCCCUUCGGGGGACAGAGUGACAGGUGGUGCAUGGUUGUCGUCAGCUCGUGUCGUGAGAUGUUGGGUUAAGUCCCGCAACGAGCGCAACCCUUGAUCUUAGUUGCCAGCAUUUAGUUGGGCACUCUAAGGUGACUGCCGGUGACAAACCGGAGGAAGGUGGGGAUGACGUCAAAUCAUCAUGCCCCUUAUGACCUGGGCUACACACGUGCUACAAUGGAUGGUACAAAGGGCUGCAAGACCGCGAGGUCAAGCCAAUCCCAUAAAACCAUUCUCAGUUCGGAUUGUAGGCUGCAACUCGCCUACAUGAAGCUGGAAUCGCUAGUAAUCGCGGAUCAGCAUGCCGCGGUGAAUACGUGCCCGGGCCUUGUACACACCGCCCGUCACACCACGAGAGUUUGUAACACCCGAAGUCGGUGGAGUAACCGUAAGGAGCUAGCCCGGUAAGGUGGGACAGAUGAUUGGGGUGAAGUCGUAACAAGGUAGCCGUAUCGGAAGGUGCGUU
This 1533-nucleotide ribosomal RNA is filed under the name Priestia aryabhattai. Its description in RNAcentral is "bacterial SSU rRNA". It matches the Rfam family "Bacterial small subunit ribosomal RNA". The record is from RNAcentral. Lineage: Bacteria; Bacillati; Bacillota; Bacilli; Caryophanales; Bacillaceae.